UCUGAAUCUGCGAACGGCUCCGCAAACCAGUUGUAAACUAUAGCAAGCAAGCCCGGGGUCGGCCUUCACGGGCUGGUUCCGGGUGAUAUGGAUAACCCUGGUAAUUCUGAGGCUAAUACAUGACCGUAAAACCUAGCUGACCGGCUUCGGCUGGGAUGCUGGGGGACGUGUGAUUUGGGCUUGGUAACACCGGGAAGGGGCGCACGUCUAGACCACGCUAUAAAGGUCGGUUUCCUCCUCGGAGGGGGCCGUCCCAGUGGCUCCUGCUGUGUGCUUCUGACCUAUCAACUAGACGGCAGCGUAAGGGACAUGCUAUGGU
RNAcentral lists this ribosomal RNA (319 nucleotides) under Lamproderma aeneum. RNAcentral's name for it is "SSU rRNA". It matches the Rfam family "Eukaryotic small subunit ribosomal RNA", at positions 80 to 350 of the family's 1831-position model. Lineage: Eukaryota; Evosea; Eumycetozoa; Stemonitida; Stemonitidae. The record is from RNAcentral.